AAAUCUUUUGCUGUCAAACCUGUGACAUGAAGACAUAUUUUAUUGAAGAACAGAAGUGAGAAUGGAACACAAAAUCCUGGUAGAAAAAUAUGCAGCGUGAGAACUAUCGGUACAUAAUUAGGAGUAAAGAAAAAGCAGCUGUACCAUUUACACGUAUAAUUGCCAAACCUUCAUAAGCAAAUCUUAGGACUAAUAAAUACAUGACAGUUCAAGAAAUUAGUAAAGCUUUAGCCUUCUAUUUUUUCAUACAAGUGGAAUGCAGAAAAAUGCACAAAUUAUAAACCAGAGUGCAAAAAUUUAGAAAAAGGAACACAAAUAAAGACUAACAAAAAGCACAAGUGAAUUUUUUUUUCAUAGCAAUAAUUAAAAAUUUUCAAUAGAUUUCUACAAUCUUGA
RNAcentral lists this unclassified non-coding RNA (396 nucleotides) under Hevea brasiliensis (rubber tree). Lineage: Eukaryota; Viridiplantae; Streptophyta; Magnoliopsida; Malpighiales; Euphorbiaceae. The record is from RNAcentral.